AUACUUGGAAGGGAGUAUUUUUGAAGGUGCAGAUUGGUUUUCCAAAAUUUGAUGAGCUUUCCGCAUUAACCAACCAAUCACCUUCCCCAAGAUUAACCAAUGAAUCUCGAGCCAAACUCAGCGGUUUAAAAGGGGAUUUCUCACUCAGCCAUAUACACUCUCUGUGUGUUAAUGGAUCUCCUCCGAAGAGCCUGCGCAAGAGCAAGAUACUCCCCUCAACUUAACGCAUUUGCAUUUGCAAAAAGGUCCUUUACUCCUCUCAAUCACGCCACACCCUCUGCUCUCCUCCAUGGCAUUCAUGUCUUCCACUGCCCGGAUGAAGUGGGAAUUGUCGCCAAAUUAUCCGAAUGCAUAGCCUCCAAGGGUGGCAACAUUCUUAAUGCUGAUGUUUUUGUGCCUGAAAAGGAGAAUGUCUUUUAUUCCAGAAGUGAGUUUGUCUUUGAUCCUGCCAAAUGGCCACGGAAUCAAAUGGAUGAGGAUUUCUCAAAACUUGGGAAGAUGUUCAAUGCAAUGAAGUCUGUUGUUCGGGUGCCCAAUCUAGAUCCAAAAUAUAAGAUUGCAGUACUUGCUUCGAAGCAGGACCAUUGUCUUGUUGAUUUGCUGCAUGCUUGGCAGGACUCUAAGCUUCCUGUUGAUAUUACAGCUGUGAUAAGCAAUCAUGACAGAGGUCCAAACUCACAUGUGAUGAGAUUUCUUGAAAGGCAUGAAAUCCCUUACCAUUAUUUGAGCACAACUAUAGAAGACAAAAACGAAGAAGACAUCUUGAAUGUUGUCAAGGAUACAGACUUUCUAGUACUUGCUAGAUACAUGCAGAUACUCUCAGGAAAUUUCUUAAAGAGCUAUGGCAGGGAUAUUAUUAAUAUUCAUCAUGGUCUGUUACCCUCUUUCAAGGGUGGCAACCCAUCUAAACAGGCCUUUGAUGCUGGUGUUAAAUUGAUUGGUGCAACAUCUCAUUUUGUUACUGAAGAGCUUGAUGAAGGUCCCAUCAUUGAGCAAAUGGUGGACAGAGUUUCUCAUAGGGACAAUUUGCGAAGCUUUGUACAUAAAUCUGAGAACUUGGAGAAGCAAUGUCUUGCGAGAGCAAUAAAGUACUAUUGUGAACUACGCGUGUUGCCUUACGUGAAAAACAAGACUGUUGUAUUUUGAGGCUAGUAACACAUGGUGGAUGUGAAACCUGAAAUCUAAUCACUCUCAGUCUGAAGAAGGGCAGUAUAUAUCCAAUCUGUGUUAAAAGGAGGCAUACAAUUGUGAAAGAAACUUCAACAAAAUGUGUCUGCACAAAAGUUUGAUUAAAUGCUCUGGUUGAUAUUCAACAUCCUUAGAGAAUUCUCUGCCUCCUCAAAUCGGCUUCUGCGCUGCAGAAGAUUCUGAAUUCCGUGCACCCAUUUUUGUUUAUGAACUUUGUUCUUGCACUUGAACUCUAAUAGACCCUGAGCAGUUUUUACCCCAAAGUACAACUCCAUGUUUUCUCUUUCUUUCCUGAACGGCCAGCUGCUGCUGUCAUGGAUGACUUCAUAAAGAAUACCUGAAAUGUGGUAAAGACAUCGAUAAGCAGAUAGAUGUAGGAUUUAUGUGAAAUUAGCUGUUUUUCCAUAUGCAUCUGGGAUAAAUUUCUUACUAUAUAAUGUUGAAGGCUUACAUUUAUUGUUUUUGGAAAAUGCUCCUCCUAUGUGCUUACUCUUCACCUUUAUUGUAACCUGAAAAUAUGUUCAUUUCAGUCGAAUGUCGUCUGUCCAAUCUAUGUUCAUGAGCAUAUGUUAAGGUGAUUAUAUACACUUGUAAUAGAAACUAGGUUUAUUUAUGAAUUCCUCUCUAGAUAUGAAUAGCUGUAUACCUGGUAUGCCUUGUUGAUGUAGAUAGACACAUGUUUCCACUGUAGCACACCUAAAAAUUCAGGUGAUCAGGGUGUUUGAUUUUAUCAUUUUAUGGCAUAUGGAUAAGAAAAUACAAGUAUGAUUCUGCAAAUGUAGAUUUAGAAAUCAUGCGUGCUUAGGGUAUGUGAUGAUUGAGAAUCUCAAUUACUCUGAUGAAAAUUAGACGUUACCUUUUCGAGUGAGUUGUAGUAAGUCUCCUAGGCAGGGAAGGUCCUCUUCCUCGACUUCACUAGCAAAAGCAGCUGGAGAUGGAGAACCUGCUAUGGCCUUUUCAUAUGGACUUAUUGACGCGCUCCUCUUUGCUUCCUUAGUUUGCAGGAGUAGUUGAGAUUUGUACCAGUUGCUGCUGCAGCUGUCAAAGUUAACAAAUCACUUGCAGUUUGGAUGCCGACUGCUGAUCUCACAACAGAGGCCACGGCUUCCUUAUCCGCCCCAGCUGAUUGCGCCAACUCGAUACAGUAUGAGGCCAAGAGCUCAGUUGCUGAUGCUAGUGCCGCGCUAAUUUUGGAGUUCUGCGUUGCAGUAGCUGCAGCCAAGGGCUGCUGCUAGUCCAGCAACGGAGAGAAGAGUGUCGCAUCUGCUUGGUAGCAAGUGCUUUUGAUAAUUCAUCUGCAGAGAGACUCCAAGACCUUGACAAGAACACCAUUGGCUCCUUAGGCGUUUCUGGCUGUGGUAUUGCAGGUAAUGCCGCUUCUCCUUUGAGCUUGUCGUUGUCUUCUUCUACGUGCUUCUUCCACCAUGGUAGUUGAUUGCUUUCCAUUUCGAUUAAUAUAAGUGGAACUGGAACACCUGAGCAUAGAUUUAUCAAUGAAUGAUUCCCAGGUCAUGAGAGAGAGAGAGAGAGAGGUGCAUACCUUUGGAUGUUUGAUGAAUGAGUAUAGUUAAGAUUGUUGUGAGAGAUUGGGUAGUUGAUACUUAUAGAUAAUGCAAAGAGAGACAUAAUGCUAGAAAAGAAUACAUGAGUGGCGCCUCGUGCUUGAAACUUGCCAUGAAAUCUGCUGUUUUACUUAUAAUAUUCAUCGCCAUUGUCGUUUUAGCA
RNA transcript from Salvia miltiorrhiza (redroot sage), 2913 nucleotides. It is a transcript of the gene named formyltetrahydrofolate deformylase 1, mitochondrial-like, with no coding region annotated. The record is from RefSeq and is a predicted model, not a curated record. The transcript is spliced from 11 exons. Lineage: Eukaryota; Viridiplantae; Streptophyta; Magnoliopsida; Lamiales; Lamiaceae.